UCAUUCUAGAUACACUUUCCAGUACAUCUACUAUGUUACGACUUAUCUUACCUUAAUAAUAAGAGCGACGGGCGAUGUGUACAUAUUUUAGAGCUAAAAUCAAAUUAUUAAUCUUUAUAAUUUUACAACCAAAUCCACCUUCAAAAAUUUUUUCAUAAUUUUAUCCGUUUAAAUAAAUUUAUUGUAACCCAUUAUAACUUAAAUAUAAGCUACACCUUGAUCUGAUAUAAAUUUUAAUAAAAAUUAUUGAAUAUUAUUAUUCUUAUAAAAUAUUCUGAUAACGACGGUAUAUAAACUGAUUACAAACUUAAGUAAGGUCCAUCGUGGAUUAUCGAUUAAAAAACAGGUUCCUCUGGAUAGACUAAAAUACCGCCAAAUUUUUUAAGUUUCAAGAACAUAUC
Molecule: ribosomal RNA, 401 nt
Filed under: Drosophila ritae
Lineage: Eukaryota; Metazoa; Arthropoda; Insecta; Diptera; Drosophilidae
Description: partial 12S ribosomal RNA
Source: RNAcentral